RNAcentral lists this ribosomal RNA (440 nucleotides) under uncultured bacterium. RNAcentral describes it as "partial 16S ribosomal RNA". It matches the Rfam family "Bacterial small subunit ribosomal RNA", at positions 338 to 795 of the family's 1533-position model. The record is from RNAcentral.
CCUACGGGUGGCUGCAGUGGGGGAUAUUGCACAAUGGGGGAAAGCCUGAUGCAGCGACGCCGCGUGAGCGAUGAAGUAUUUCGGUAUGUAAAGCUCUAUCAGCAGGGAAGAUAAUGACGGUACUUGACCAAGAAGCCCCGGCUAACUACGUGCCAGCAGCCGCGGUAAUACGUAGGGGGCAAGCGUUAUCCGGAUUUACUGGGGGUAAAGGGAGCGUAGGGGGUUAUUUAAGUCUGGAGUGAAAGCGCGGGGCCCAACCCCGGGACAGCUUUGGAAACUGGGUAACUGGAGUACAGGAGGGGAGAGCGGAAUUCCUGGUGUAGCGGUGAAAUGCGUAGAUAUCAGGAGGAACACCAGCGGCGAAGGCGGCUUUCUGGACUGUAACUGACGUUGAGGCUCGAAAGCGUGGGGAGCAAACAGGAUUAGAUACCCCUGUAGUC